This 371-nucleotide ribosomal RNA is filed under the name uncultured organism. RNAcentral describes it as "partial 16S ribosomal RNA". It matches the Rfam family "Bacterial small subunit ribosomal RNA", at positions 527 to 896 of the family's 1533-position model. The record is from RNAcentral.
GUAGGUGGCAAGCGUUGUCCGGAAUUAUUGGGCGUAAAGCGCGCGCAGGCGGUUCUUUAAGUCUGAUGUGAAAGCCCACGGCUCAACCGUGGAGGGUCAUUGGAAACUGGAGAACUUGAGUACAGAAGAGGAAAGCGGGAUUCCACGUGUAGCGGUGAAAUGCGUAGAGAUGUGGAGGAACACCAGUGGCGAAGGCGGCUUUCUGGUCUGUACUGACGCUGAGGCGCGAAAGCGUGGGGAGCAAACAGGGAUUAGAUACCCUGGUAGUCCACGCCGUAAACGAUGAGUGCUAAGUGUUAGGGGGUUUCCGCCCCCUUAGUGCUGCAGCUAACGCAUUAAGCACUCCGCCUGGGGAUACGGCCGCAAGGCUG